RNAcentral lists this small RNA (357 nucleotides) under Pongo abelii (Sumatran orangutan). Its description in RNAcentral is "retained intron". Lineage: Eukaryota; Metazoa; Chordata; Mammalia; Primates; Hominidae. The record is from RNAcentral.
GAUUGGGGUUUCUGUGAAGCAGCAGUUUACCGAGGAAGAAAUAUACAAAGACAGGGACAGCCAGAUCACAGCCAUUGAGAAGACUUUUGAGGAUGCCCAGAAAUCAGUAAUUGAGGGACUGGGAUGGGGAGAGGCAAGGGUGUGGCUGCAGAGCUCCUCCUCACCCUGUUUUUGUCCCACCAGAUCUCCCAGCAUUACAGCAAACCCCGAGUCACACCGGUGGAGGUCAUGCCUGUUUUCCCAGACUUUAAGGUCAGGCCCAAGGUGGGAGGUAGAAAGAGACAGCCUAUUUGUGCCUGUUCCCAUCUAACCCCAGUGCCUCCAUCUCCUUAGAUGUGGAUCAAUCCAUGUGCUCAG